Dromiciops gliroides (monito del monte) is the source of this 104-nucleotide small nuclear RNA. The record is from RefSeq and is a predicted model, not a curated record. NCBI's taxonomy places the organism in Eukaryota, Metazoa, Chordata, Mammalia, Microbiotheria, Microbiotheriidae.
GCUUGGAAUAGCUUGCAUAUACUCACAUUGGAAUGAUACAGAGAAGAUCAGCAUUGGCUCAGCCCGAGGAUGGCACCCAGAUCUGGGAAGCGUUCCAUCUUUUU